Molecule: long non-coding RNA, 303 nt
Filed under: Phoenix dactylifera (date palm)
Lineage: Eukaryota; Viridiplantae; Streptophyta; Magnoliopsida; Arecales; Arecaceae
Description: long non-coding RNA (PDAC_LNC010046)
Source: RNAcentral
CAUAAUCACUUUUUCAACCAUCGGAUCGGUCAAUACUUCUAGUGUGUGUGACCCCAUAGGUUCUACUCUGACUGGUAGUGAGAUAUAUUAUGAUCUCUAUCAUAAUAUCAUUGAAAACUCCUUUCAAUGGGUUGGAACGAUUCCAACUCAACUCAUUAGGGUUUAUCGAUCAUCAAGAUAAUCCCUAUAAGUCCCACCAUCCACCAGUGACACCUAGCAGCAUGUAGUGGCUACCCAGUAGAAUAGAAAGAUGAACCUCUAGGUGCAGUUAACAUGUGAUACAGUCCUACUAUCGUGGAUCCC